GCAUAAUCAUUAGUUUUUUAAUUGAAGACUGGAAUGAAAGGUAAUAACUGAAAGGUUAGUUCUUAAUUAAAUAUUUUGAAUUUAAAUUAAUAAUAAAAAUGUUAUUAUAAAUCUUUGGGACGAGAAGACCCUAGAAGUUUAAAAUUAAGAAAUUUUUUGUUGGGGCAAUAAUUGAAGAAUUAUAAUAAUUUUUAAUUUAAAAAGAAUAAGAUAUUAAAAUUACUCUAGGGAUAACAGCGUUAUUUAAUUAGCAAGUUCUUAUUAAUAAUUAAAAUUGCGACCUCGAUGUUGAAUUAAAU
This 299-nucleotide ribosomal RNA is filed under the name Eutimesius simoni. RNAcentral describes it as "partial 16S ribosomal RNA". The record is from RNAcentral. Lineage: Eukaryota; Metazoa; Arthropoda; Arachnida; Opiliones; Stygnidae.